Molecule: non-coding RNA, 224 nt
Organism: Tinamus guttatus (white-throated tinamou)
Lineage: Eukaryota; Metazoa; Chordata; Aves; Tinamiformes; Tinamidae
Source: RefSeq, a predicted model, not a curated record
GAAAGUCUAUGUAGAAAUGGUCCUGAUAGCAUAUCAGAGGUGAUGGUCACAAGAACAAAUAGCUGCCAAUCAGACAGCAGUGGAUUUAUGGAGGAGCUGCCAGAGCCUUCAGUUUUGCAAAAUGCAUCUUUGUCAGGAAAGAUAAAUCUUAGCUCUGAUACCCACAAUCAACAAAUGACUCUGUCAUAUAGCACAGAGCUUCCUAUGUUAAAUCAAAAUUUUCA